This 253-nucleotide ribosomal RNA is filed under the name uncultured bacterium. RNAcentral's name for it is "partial 16S ribosomal RNA". It matches the Rfam family "Bacterial small subunit ribosomal RNA", at positions 524 to 776 of the family's 1533-position model. The record is from RNAcentral.
UACGUAGGGGGCAAGCGUUGUCCGGAUUUAUUGGGUUUAAAGGGUGCGUAGGCGGCCCCAUAAGUCAGUGCUGAAAUACUCUAGCUCAACUAGAGGGGUGGCAUUGAUACUGCAGGGCUUGAGUACAGACGAGGUAGGCGGAAUUGACGGUGUAGCGGUGAAAUGCAUAGAUAUCGUCAAGAACACCGAUAGCGAAGGCAGCUUACUGGGCUGUAACUGACGCUGAUGCACGAAAGUGUGGGGAUCAAACAGG